AGAGACGUUGCCCUUCGGGGUAUACCUCCCACCCUUUGUUUAUUAUACCUUUGUUGCUUUGGCGGGGCCCGUCCUCGGACCACCGGCUUCUGCUGGUCAGUGCCCGCCAGAGGACCUAAAACUCUGUUUGUUAAUAUUGUCUGAAGUACUAUAUAAUAGUUA
This 162-nucleotide unclassified non-coding RNA is filed under the name soil metagenome. Its description in RNAcentral is "partial internal transcribed spacer 1". The record is from RNAcentral.